CCUACGGGAGGCAGCAGUAGGGAAUCUUCCACAAUGGGCGAAAGCCUGAUGGAGCCACGCCGCGUGGGUGAAGAAGGUCUUCGGAUCGUAAAACCCUGUUGUUAGAGAAGAAAGUGCGUGUGAGUAACUGUUCACGUUUCGACGGUAUCUAUCCAGAACGCCCCGGCUAACUACGUGCCAGCAGCCGCGGUAAUACGUAGGUGGCAAGCGUUAUCCGGAUUUAUUGGGCGUAAAGGUAACGCAGGCGGUCUUUUAAGUCUGAUGGGAAAGCCUUCGGCUUAACCGGAGGAGUGCAUUGGAAACUGGGAGACUUGAGGGCAGAAGAGGAGAGUGGAACUCAAUGUGUAGCGGUGAAAUGCGUAGAUAUAUGGAAGAACACCAGUGGCGAAAGCGGCUCGC
RNAcentral lists this ribosomal RNA (399 nucleotides) under uncultured bacterium. RNAcentral describes it as "partial 16S ribosomal RNA". It matches the Rfam family "Bacterial small subunit ribosomal RNA", at positions 338 to 729 of the family's 1533-position model. The record is from RNAcentral.